RNAcentral lists this long non-coding RNA (277 nucleotides) under Physcomitrium patens. RNAcentral's name for it is "long non-coding RNA (PPAT_LNC002591)". Lineage: Eukaryota; Viridiplantae; Streptophyta; Bryopsida; Funariales; Funariaceae. The record is from RNAcentral.
CUAAGAUUUGAUUUGGAAUUUAGGAUUUUUCUAAGAUUUAUCUAGAAUUGUUUUUAGAAUUUAGGAUUCAUUUAGGGUUUGAUUAAGAAUUUAGAGUUUGUCUAAGAUUUGAUUUAGGAUUUAGGAUUUUUUUAGGAUUUGAUUUAAGAUUUAAUCAAGUUCCAUUAUUAUUUUAAUUAGAAUUAAAAUAGAACUUGAUUAAGCUUUAUUUAAAAUUUAUUUGAGAUUUCUCUAAUAUUUCUUUAGAAUUUUUUUAUAUUUUUUUUGUAAUUUCUUU